AUGGUCAGAAAAUCGCAUGAAAUGGGAAGCGGAAAGGGGCUCAUCGGAUGAAUUUUUUAAUUUUGGCCGUGGCAGCUCCACUGGACUUUUUCGUAGUUUUCGGCUCACUCACUAUCUCUCUUGCUCCUAUAUGGCUACAAGAAUGGUCAGAAUCGGGGGCUAACUGCUAGAGUUUGGGUUUGCUCGCGACUCGAGGUAUUUAUACCCAUCCCGUAUCGAUCUGGGUCGUUCAUCACGAUUGAUCUUAUCCGUCUGAUUGUGCCUAAGAAUGGAAUAAAUUUGGACCGUUCACGUGUGUGGGAUCGAACCUGAUUCGUCGGAUCGCUGGGCAUGCAAAUCGCUCGCGUGGCCUACCGCGUGACGCUGACGUCAGCGUGUUUUGACACGCGGCGUGUUCCAGUU
Molecule: long non-coding RNA, 402 nt
Filed under: Carica papaya (papaya)
Lineage: Eukaryota; Viridiplantae; Streptophyta; Magnoliopsida; Brassicales; Caricaceae
Description: long non-coding RNA (CPAP_LNC008566)
Source: RNAcentral